This 215-nucleotide ribosomal RNA is filed under the name uncultured bacterium. Its description in RNAcentral is "partial 16S ribosomal RNA". It matches the Rfam family "Bacterial small subunit ribosomal RNA", at positions 29 to 246 of the family's 1533-position model. The record is from RNAcentral.
AAUGAACGCUGGCGGCGUGCUUUACACAUGCAAGUCGAGCGAGGCGGCCCGCAAGGGCCAGUCGAGCGGCGAACGGGUGAGUAACGCGUGGAUUAUCUGCCCUGAGGUGGGGAGUAACCCGGGAAACGUCGGGCGUAAUACCGCAUAUGACCGUGAGGUCGAAAGGGGGUACGGCAAGAUCUCUCGCCAUAGGAGGAGUCCGCGUACGAUUAGUC